Long non-coding RNA from Lactuca sativa (garden lettuce), 1485 nucleotides. RefSeq lists it as uncharacterized. The record is from RefSeq and is a predicted model, not a curated record. NCBI's taxonomy places the organism in Eukaryota, Viridiplantae, Streptophyta, Magnoliopsida, Asterales, Asteraceae.
UUACAGCUUUAUAUACAAAAUUACUAAACUACCCUUCUGCAUAUUUACAGUAGUCUAAUAUAAUCCGAUAUAUUCAGUCCUUCCAAAUUGAAUCUGGUAUAUCAGCAACAAAAUCAGGGAUUUUUGUUAAACUUGAUAAACCACAAUUGCAAGAGAUAGCUACAAAAUCUUAUUCAAAACUAAACGUCAAUUCAAAUCUUAUUGGAUUGCAAAUACGUUGAAGCUAAUUUCAAUAGUAUCUUGUAUUCCAUUGCCGAUUCAUCUCUCCUAUUUUGGGUCUUCGGUGUUGAUCUGGUAUGUUUUCCCUUUUUUUUGUUUCACCUAAUUCCCACACAAGUUUCUAAAAAUCGUUUUUUAUACAUUUUCUAUUUGCUUUGAUAUUUUGUCUCUGGGUUUGACCAAUGGGAUGUUUUGAACACUGAAUUCGUAUCUGAAUUAUUAGUUCGCGUUUUCUAUUGUUUAUGUUCGUCAUUUAUGAAGGUACUAAGGGUUAGAAGAUUAGAACUUUGCAUUUUCAUUUGAAUAUUGAUUGUUAUUCCCCACAUCUUUACAUACUUAUUGUAGAUUAAUGCGGAAAAGCUACUAAAGAUAGCAAGUGUUGUUUGCAAGGGUAGUUUUAGAAGGUUAGAACUUUACAUUUGCAUUUGAAUGUCAUAACUGGCACAAUCAAGUGUAGUGAUUCCAUUUUUCUAGCAAAAUAGCAACUUACUUAUGAUUUCUUCCACUUUGAGCAAAAUACCUUGAUUUUUGUAAUAAUUAAAUCCAAAAAUGUUGCUAUGAGGUCGUUGUCGACUCUAAACUUUACAUACACAUACAAGAAAUUAAUGUGCUAUAUAGGUAAUCUCACACUGUUGAUUUCCUUAUUAAAGUUCAGUAAGGUUUAAAUUAAAUGCCAAAUUUUGUGGUGCCUGUUUUCGUGAAUCUAUUUUUCAUAUUGUUGAGGCAAUAAAGGCAUAUUUGAUUAUUGUUAGACUUUUAAACUAAUUAUUUCUGUUAAAAAUAAAGAUAAAACUAUAAUGUUAAUUGGAUAGAUAUUUUAUACGCUAAAAUAUAUAAACAUGCCCUUUUUGGUUAUUUUAUAUUUACCUUUUGUGCAAUAAUUUUCUCAAAAUUCGAUCAUCAAGCUUUUAUUCCAGGCUAUAUAAUUGAUCAAGAAAUUGUCUAGAGAUUAUUAUGUGGCCAAAAGCCCAGCUAUCAAAGGGAUGCUUUUAUGUUCUAAUAACUUGAAAAGUGUAUCCAUGUAUGUUUAAUAGAGAGACGAAGAUGAAGAAAAUGAUCCAAGAUGUUGACUCUAUUUCCACAAUCACAUAGUCAAGUUCUAUAAACAUUAAAAGUGUAUUCAUGCAUGUCGUUUCCACGAUUGAUUGUGUUUUUUUACACUCUAUUCAAAUUUAUAUUAUGUUCUAUAAAAUCAAUAAUUAUAUUAAAUGUCUUUACGUACGUAAUGUAUAUUGGAUAUUCAAAUAAAAAUAUAUAUUAAUUUUA